AAGAGGUUCAGAAUUUUUGUUGCUCCUAGUCCUGACUGUAUCCUGCAAAAACAAAACACAAAACCCUAGAAAACAUUGUUAGUAAAAAAUUAAAAUUAAAAAGAAUAAAACACAAAUUUAAAUAAAAAUUAAAAAUAGGAAAAAAUAUAAAAAAUAAAAAUAAAAAGAGCCAAAGUUAAUCAAGAAUCAGACAAAUAGAAUAGCUUAAAUCGUGAGUCCCCGGCAACAACGUUGUUGGGCUGAAUCGGCAAGUGUACCGAGUCGCACAAGUAAUAUAACAUGGCAAGACCAAGUAUC
RNAcentral lists this long non-coding RNA (297 nucleotides) under Vigna radiata. Its description in RNAcentral is "long non-coding RNA (VRAD_LNC017137)". Lineage: Eukaryota; Viridiplantae; Streptophyta; Magnoliopsida; Fabales; Fabaceae. The record is from RNAcentral.